UACGGAGGGUGCAAGCGUUGUCCGGAUUUAUUGGGUUUAAAGGGUGCGUAGGCGGCCCGUUAAGUCAGUGGUGAAAGCCUCCAGCUCAACUGGAGAACUGCCAUUGAUACUGACAGGCUUGAGUACAGACGAGGUUGGCGGAAUUGAUUGUGUAGCGGUGAAAUGCAUAGAUACAAUCAAGAACUCCGAUUGCGUAGGCAGCUAACUAGGCUGUAACUGACGCUGAGGCACGAAAGCGUGGGGAGCGAACAGG
Molecule: ribosomal RNA, 253 nt
Filed under: uncultured bacterium
Lineage: Bacteria
Description: partial 16S ribosomal RNA
Rfam family: Bacterial small subunit ribosomal RNA
Source: RNAcentral